AACGCGAAGAACCUUACCAGGACUUGACAUACACGUGGUAGGAAGAUGAAAUUCAACCGACCCUUCGGGGAGCGUGUACAGGUGCUGCAUGGCUGUCGUCAGCUCGUGCCGUGAGGUGUUAGGUUAAGUCCUGUAACGAGCGCAACCCACGUCGCUAGUUAUGCGUGUCUAGCGAGACUGCCGGUGAUAAGCCGGAGGAAGGUGUGGAUGACGUCAAGUCAGCAUGGCCUUUAUGUCCUGGGCUACACACACGCUACAAUGGCCGGUACAAUGGGUAGCCAAGCCGUGAGGCGGAGCCAAUCCUCUAAAGCCGGUCUCAGUUCGGAUUGUAGGCUGCAACUCGCCUACAUGAAGUCGGAGUUGCUAGUAACCGCGCGUCAGCCAUAGUGCGGUGAAUACGUUCCCGGGUCUUGUACACACCG
RNAcentral lists this ribosomal RNA (422 nucleotides) under uncultured bacterium. RNAcentral's name for it is "bacterial SSU rRNA". It matches the Rfam family "Bacterial small subunit ribosomal RNA", at positions 958 to 1392 of the family's 1533-position model. The record is from RNAcentral.